RNAcentral lists this non-coding RNA (30 nucleotides) under Rattus norvegicus (Norway rat). The record is from RNAcentral. Lineage: Eukaryota; Metazoa; Chordata; Mammalia; Rodentia; Muridae.
UGUGAGUGUCCAUCUGUCCUGUGAGAAGCA